ACAACUCUUAACGGUGGGUCACUCGGCUCG
This 30-nucleotide ribosomal RNA is filed under the name Eriocheir sinensis (Chinese mitten crab). RNAcentral describes it as "partial 5.8S ribosomal RNA". The record is from RNAcentral. Lineage: Eukaryota; Metazoa; Arthropoda; Malacostraca; Decapoda; Varunidae.